ACGAACGCUGGCGGCGUGCCUAACACAUGCAAGUCGAGCGAGGAGAUCCUUCGGGAUGAUCCUAGCGGCGGACGGGUGAGUAACACGUGGGCAACCUGCCUCAUAGAGAGGAAUAGCCUUCCGAAAGGGAGAUUAAUACCUCAUAACAUUGCAGUUUCGCAUGGAACAGCAAUUAAAGGAGUAAUCCGCUAUGAGAUGGGCCCGCGGCGCAUUAGCUAGUUGGUGAGGUAACGGCUCACCAAGGCGACGAUGCGUAGCCGACCUGAGAGGGUGAUCGGCCACAUUGGGACUGAGACACGGCCCAGACUCCUACGGGAGGCGGCAGUGGGGAAUAUUGCACAAUGGGGGGAAAUCCUGAUGCAGCCAACGCCGCGUGAGUGAUGACGGCCUUCGGGUUGUAAAGCUCUGUCUUCAGGGACGAUAAUGACGGUACCUGAGGAGGAAGCCACGGCUAACUACGUGCCAGCAGCUGC
Molecule: ribosomal RNA, 473 nt
Filed under: uncultured bacterium
Lineage: Bacteria
Description: bacterial SSU rRNA
Rfam family: Bacterial small subunit ribosomal RNA
Source: RNAcentral